UUCAUGUACAGAAUGACAAUAAAGUAUAUUUUGAGAGUCCUUUUGUUACCUCACUAUUAAAACGGGAUGGUAACCUUGGCAUACAAGAAGAUAGUGCCUUUAUGACAAAGAUUGUCAAAAAAUAUAUGGAGCAUGACAUGAUAGAACUUCCAAUAAAUACCGGCAACACGCAUUGGUAUUUAGCUAUUGUGAAUACAAAAAAGCGUGAGAUCCAAGUACUGGACUCAUUGUGCUGGAAGUUUGAUCGAGAGGACCUUGCUAUUACGAUACGAGGAGUACAAUUUCAUUUGGAUCUUCUUAAAAGUCGGAACUUGAUUAAGGACGAUUGGAAAGACGUUGAUCUUACUGAAUGGAAUAUCACAAAACAGUUACAAAAUCCAAUUCAAAAAGACAGUUCUUCUUGCGGUUUAUUUACGGUCAAAUUUAUGGAAUAUUUCACCGGAUGUACACUAUCCUACCCAAUUACAUAGGAAAUGAUUACUUCUUUUAGGUGUAAGUCAGCCAGCAUACUAUUAUGUUGGAAAACAAACAUUGCAUCAAUGACUACAAUCGUUGAAGAAAGUGACGAUGACAAUAAGGGAGAUCCUGAUGAUGUUCAAAUAUUGGAAAGUGUAGAUGAUAUUAAAAAAACAAAACAAAAAAUCCCAUUAUCUGUUGAAAAUAAAUAUAGAUCACUAAUAUCUAUUCUUUCUAAUAUGAGCAUGCAUGAGUUAACAGGUGCACUCUGUAACUUCAUUAAAUCAAUCAAAUACACCGAGAUUUUAGAGAAAGUAUGGAUCCAAAGUUCAAAUCCAUAUCCAAUUAGCUUGUCUCUCGGAAAGCUACAAGGAAUGCUACAGGAUGAUUUACCCAUGGAUCGAGAUUGCUUUAAUUUGGUCAUACGGAAGAUUAUGUUUGAUGACAUCCAAACGGCACAAAAAACAAAACAAUUGAUAACAAAGCAUUAUGUUGACAUGAAAUUUUGGAUGACUACUGAUUUUGGACGACACCCAAAAUUCCGCAAAAAGUUAGACGUGGAGCA
Molecule: long non-coding RNA, 1021 nt
Organism: Triticum aestivum (bread wheat)
Lineage: Eukaryota; Viridiplantae; Streptophyta; Magnoliopsida; Poales; Poaceae
Exons: 6
Source: RefSeq, a predicted model, not a curated record